RNAcentral lists this ribosomal RNA (600 nucleotides) under Enterococcus gallinarum. Its description in RNAcentral is "bacterial SSU rRNA". It matches the Rfam family "Bacterial small subunit ribosomal RNA", at positions 35 to 611 of the family's 1533-position model. The record is from RNAcentral. Lineage: Bacteria; Bacillati; Bacillota; Bacilli; Lactobacillales; Enterococcaceae.
GCGUGGCGGCUGCUAUAAUGCAGUCGAACGCUUUUUCUUUCACCGGAGCUUGCUCCACCGAAAGAAAAAGAGUGGCGAACGGGUGAGUAACACGUGGGUAACCUGCCCAUCAGAAGGGGAUAACACUUGGAAACAGGUGCUAAUACCGUAUAACACUAUUUUCCGCAUGGAAGAAAGUUGAAAGGCGCUUUUGCGUCACUGAUGGAUGGACCCGCGGUGCAUUAGCUAGUUGGUGAGGUAACGGCUCACCAAGGCCACGAUGCAUAGCCGACCUGAGAGGGUGAUCGGCCACACUGGGACUGAGACACGGCCCAGACUCCUACGGGAGGCAGCAGUAGGGAAUCUUCGGCAAUGGACGAAAGUCUGACCGAGCAACGCCGCGUGAGUGAAGAAGGUUUUCGGAUCGUAAAACUCUGUUGUUAGAGAAGAACAAGGAUGAGAGUAGAACGUUCAUCCCUUGACGGUAUCUAACCAGAAAGCCACGGCUAACUACGUGCCAGCAGCCGCGGUAAUACGUAGGUGGCAAGCGUUGUCCGGAUUUAUUGGGCGUAAAGCGAGCGCAGGCGGUUUCUUAAGUCUGAUGUGAAAGCCCCCGGCUCA